RNAcentral lists this ribosomal RNA (253 nucleotides) under uncultured bacterium. RNAcentral describes it as "partial 16S ribosomal RNA". It matches the Rfam family "Bacterial small subunit ribosomal RNA", at positions 524 to 776 of the family's 1533-position model. The record is from RNAcentral.
UACGGAGGGUGCGAGCGUUGUCCGGAAUCACUGGGCGUAAAGGGCGCGUAGGUGGCGCGGUCAGUCAGCGGUGAAAGCUCGGGGCUCAACCCUGAAUCGGCCGUCGAUACUCCCGGGCUUGAGCACUGUAGAGGCAGAUGGAAUUCCGGGUGUAGCGGUGGAAUGCGUAGAGAUCCGGAAGAACACCGGUGGCGAAGGCGGUCUGCUGGGCAGUAGCUGACGCUGAGGCGCGACAGCGUGGGGAGCAAACAGG